Molecule: ribosomal RNA, 120 nt
Filed under: uncultured bacterium
Lineage: Bacteria
Description: partial 16S ribosomal RNA
Source: RNAcentral
UGAGCAACCUGCCCUUGGCUUUGGGAUAACCCCUCGGAAACGGGGGCUAAUACCGAAUGUUCACUGCUGGACGCAUGUUUGGUGGUGGAAAGUUUUUCGGCUGGGGAUGGGCCNCGCGCU